Molecule: ribosomal RNA, 449 nt
Filed under: uncultured bacterium
Lineage: Bacteria
Description: partial 16S ribosomal RNA
Rfam family: Bacterial small subunit ribosomal RNA
Source: RNAcentral
GUCGAGAAUCUUUCACAAUGGGGGCAACCCUGAUGGAGCGACGCCGCGUGGAGGAUAAGGUCUUCGGAUUGUAAACUCCUGUCAUGCGUGAACAAGGUUGCUUGGUUAAUACCUGGGCAAAUUGAUGGUAACGCAAGAGGAAGAGACGGCUAACUCUGUGCCAGCAGCCGCGGUAAUACAGAGGUCUCAAGCGUUGUUCGGAAUCACUGGGCGUAAAGGGUGCGUAGGUGGCGUGGUAAGUCAGAUGUGAAAGCCCGGGGCUCAACCUCGGAACUGCAUCCGAUACUGCCAUGCUAGAGUAAUGGAGAGGUGACUAGAAUUCUCGGUGUAGCAGUGAAAUGCGUAGAUAUCGAGAGGAAUACCAAAGGCGUAGGCAGGUCACUGGACAGUUACUGACACUGAGGCACGAAGGCCAGGGGAGCGAACGGGAUUAGAAACCCGUGUAGUCC